CCUACGGUGGGCAGCAGUGAGGAAUAUUGGUCAAUGGGCGAGAGCCUGAACCAGCCAAGUCGCGUGAGGGAGUACUGCCCUAUGGGUUGUAAACCUCUUUUGUCGGGGAGCAAAAGCCGGACGUGUCCGGCUGUUAGAGUACCCGAAGAAAAAGCAUCGGCUAACUCCGUGCCAGCAGCCGCGGUAAUACGAAGGGGGCAAGCGUUGUUCGGAAUUACUGGGCGUAAAGGGAGUGUAGGCGGUUUAGUAAGAUAGUGGUGAAAUCCCAGGGCUUAACUUUGGAAUUGCCAUUAUAACUAUUAGACUAGAAUGACAGAGAGGAUAGUGGAAUACCCAGUGUAGAGGUGAAAUUCGUAGAUAUUGGGUAGAACACCAGUGGCGAAGGCGACUAUCUGGAUGGACAUUGACGCUGAGGCUCGAAAGCAUGGGGAUCAAACAGGAUUAGAUACCCCAGUAGUC
This 459-nucleotide ribosomal RNA is filed under the name uncultured bacterium. Its description in RNAcentral is "partial 16S ribosomal RNA". It matches the Rfam family "Bacterial small subunit ribosomal RNA", at positions 338 to 795 of the family's 1533-position model. The record is from RNAcentral.